Molecule: ribosomal RNA, 430 nt
Filed under: Pseudomonadota bacterium
Lineage: Bacteria; Pseudomonadati; Pseudomonadota
Description: Proteobacteria bacterium partial 16S ribosomal RNA
Rfam family: Bacterial small subunit ribosomal RNA
Source: RNAcentral
UGGGGAAUAUUGGACAAUGGGCGAAAGCCUGAUCCAGCCAUGCCGCGUGUGUGAAGAAGGCCUUUUGGUUGUAAAGCACUUUAAGCGAGGAGGAGGCUACUAGUACUAAUACUACUGGAUAGUGGACGUUACUCGCAGAAUAAGCACCGGCUAACUCUGUGCCAGCAGCCGCGGUAAUACAGAGGGUGCGAGCGUUAAUCGGAUUUACUGGGCGUAAAGCGUGCGUAGGCGGCUGAUUAAGUCGGAUGUGAAAUCCCUGAGCUUAACUUGGGAAUUGCAUUCGAUACUGGUUAGCUAGAGUGUGGGAGAGGAUGGUAGAAUUCCAGGUGUAGCGGUGAAAUGCGUAGAUAUAGGAAGGAACACCAGUGGCGAAGGCGACCACCUGGGCUCAUACUGACACUGAGGUGCGAAAGCGUGGGGAGCAAACAGG